Molecule: ribosomal RNA, 497 nt
Filed under: uncultured bacterium
Lineage: Bacteria
Description: partial 16S ribosomal RNA
Rfam family: Bacterial small subunit ribosomal RNA
Source: RNAcentral
GAUGAACGCUGGCGGCGUGCCUAAUACAUGCAAGUCGAGCGAACAGACGAGGAGCUUGCUCCUCUGACGUUAGCGGCGGACGGGUGAGUAACACGUGGAUAACCUACCUAUAAGACUGGGAUAACUUCGGGAAACCGGAGCUAAUACCGGAUAAUAUAUUGAACCGCAUGGUUCAAUAGUGAAAGACGGUUUUGCUGUCACUUAUAGAUGGAUCCGCGCCGCAUUAGCUAGUUGGUAAGGUAACGGCUUACCAAGGCAACGAUGCGUAGCCGACCUGAGAGGGUGAUAGGCCACACUGGAACUGGGACACGGUCCAGACUCCUACGGGAGGCAGCAGUAGGGAAUCUUCCGCAAUGGGCGAAAGCUUGACGGAGCAACGCCGCGUGAGUGAUGAAGGUCUUCGGAUCGUAAAACUCUGUUAUUAGGGAAGAACAAAUGUGUAAGUAACUAUGCACGUCUUGACGGUACCUAAUCAGAAAGCAACGGCUAACUACGUG